This is an RNA transcript of Ailuropoda melanoleuca (giant panda), 310 nucleotides long. RefSeq lists it as uncharacterized. The transcript has 3 exons. The record is from RefSeq and is a predicted model, not a curated record. NCBI's taxonomy places the organism in Eukaryota, Metazoa, Chordata, Mammalia, Carnivora, Ursidae.
UUACUCCCGUCAGCGGCCGUGGCCUCCGAGGCUGAGCACCGUCUGUUUGAGCGGCUGUUCGAGGAUUACAACGAGAUCAUCCGGCCCGUGGCCAACGUGUCCGACCCAGUCAUCAUCCAGUUUGAGGUGUCCAUGUCUCAGCUGGUGAAGGUGGACGAGGUCAACCAGAUCAUGGAGACCAACCUGUGGCUCAAGCAAAUCUGGAAUGACUACAAACUGAAGUGGAACCCAUCUGACUACGAUGGGGCAGAGUUCAUGCGCGUCCCUGCGCAGAAGAUCUGGAAGCCUGACAUCGUGCUGUACAACAAGU